GCUCGCCAUCUGCGUCACCUCGCCCACCUGGUUUGCUGAGCGAGGUCCUGGUGCCACGUGACGCACAGAACAGGGCUCUAACAUUGUGACACCUGCCUCCCGGCGGGGCACUUUAUACUACCUCGUCUAAGCCGCUCAGCACCCUACCACCCAGCGGGCACCUGCGCCUUUUUACCGCGGGGGUACCGACUAAUUUCCUAAUCCGUGCAGAUUUUGGAUCCCUCGCUCUCUGACCUCGUUUUAGGAACGGGUGGGAGGAGUGACCCAGCCUCAAGGGAUGGCUCGGCCAGCGGACACCGGGGCGAGCCUAGGACCUCACAGGGGCCUGCCCUUGACAUCCGGGGCUAUUACAAAUAUUGCCUCCAAGUUGGGGCUCCUUGUAAAACCCGGCGAAGGAGCCGCGGGGCCAGGAGGCGAGCAGAGGGAGGGAGAAGACUGAUGUGGCAAUCCUGCGGGCAGGGCGAGAGAAGGAAGGAAGCCCUUUUUCUUCACCUGUCAAACUCCCAAUAUAACGGUUAUUUCACAAGGAAGAUCUGAGAAUUCAUGAGACGGACCCCAUGUAGUAGGUAGUUGCUCUUUCCCAGUCUCCUCCUGCCACCCCUUUUGUCUUCAAGACCUGGCUCAACCAACCUUCUGUUUGUUUCCCCCUUACCCUACUGGGGUGAGUCUCGUUAGUGCCUGCUUUUGCCAUGGAGCGGGACCUGACUCCUCCCAUCUCUCAUGUGGUGACCUCCCAGUGUGUGACGGCCUUGUCUGCCCCCACACCUGCCUUUUAAAAGCACUCUUCAUGUACAGUUCAAGCACUGGGCUGCAGUCAGACCAGGAAGGGUGCAGAGAACCGUGCAUGUGACCGGGAAGAGGCACAUUCAACAUCACGGGUGAUUCUCAGCCAAAUGGAAAAUGAAGUUCAAGGAGAAUGGAGAAGAAAUGAGAUCUUCAAACACAGAUUCGAACAAGAUCAGGAAGUCUGGACAGACAAGGUACUACUGUAUUGUAUUAGUACAAAUACACGUGUGUGCUUCGGGUACAGAUACAGCACACGCACGUCCUUUAACACACUCCGUUCAGCUCAGCCAUGUUUGAGUGCGGAAAUGCAGUCACCUGAACCCAAACGCUGCAAUAGUACUCCAUAGACUGUGUGUGCACACCAGUGGCGGCGGCGGCAGAGGGCAGAGCCCUUGGGAGACGGUUCUGUUGAUAGAAAUCACGGGCCACUUGCCUACAACCUACAGGAUUAUGUGCUGAGAGCAGAAUUUCAGGAGCCCGUUUGACCUCUCCA
Tupaia belangeri chinensis (Chinese tree shrew) is the source of this 1279-nucleotide long non-coding RNA. RefSeq lists it as uncharacterized. The transcript is spliced from 6 exons. NCBI's taxonomy places the organism in Eukaryota, Metazoa, Chordata, Mammalia, Scandentia, Tupaiidae. The record is from RefSeq and is a predicted model, not a curated record.